Molecule: long non-coding RNA, 350 nt
Organism: Myotis daubentonii (Daubenton's bat)
Lineage: Eukaryota; Metazoa; Chordata; Mammalia; Chiroptera; Vespertilionidae
Source: RefSeq, a predicted model, not a curated record
UUUAAGGCCCUGACCCGGAAGCUGUUCUCCAGGAACAGGAUCAGCCAAAGACCGGGGAUGAGGACACUUAUGUCAAGUAUAAGAUUUUAGGCAAACCGGAACCCAUUAACAUGCCAGAAAUAGGGCCUGACCCAGAAAUUUGUUCCCCAGACCUGCCUCAGCCAGAGAUUUGGGUUGACGAUACAGAUGAUACUCCGUUCAAGUGGGAGAUGUCACCAAAACCAAAGCCCAUUUCCAUGCCAGAAGCAGGGGAAGGAAAACCAGACAUUUAAAGGAAGAUGAUCUGAAGACACACAGAUCAUUCUCAUGUUGGAUACUUUACUGUUCAAGUUCUCUCAGUAAAGUUUUAC